CCUGCCAGCAAAUUGUACCACUUGUACUCAACUCCUUUUCUGACGAAGAUAGCAGGGUGCAUUAUUGUGCCUGUGAAGCAUUAUAUAACAUAGCAAAGGUUGUAAGAGGAGAUUUCAUUGUAUUCUUUAAUAUUUUCAACUAAUAACUAGGAUAUUAUAUAAUCAAUGAUUCCACAAUUUUUGAAUUUCUCCAGGAGAUUUUGAAAAACUCUCUAGUAAGACUUCAAUUCUCCAUCUAUGGCAAUUCUUAUAUCUUAUAUAAGAAACUUAACGAUUUUUCUUCCUUACAAUACAUUAUCAAAACAUUUUCCUUUUUUUUUUUUUUUUUGGUUUCCCCUAGUUUAUGGCUUAAUCUAGACAAGAAAAUGAUGUUAGAUAGUUCUUUUUAUGAUCAGAAUGGUGCUAGAGAUCCAUAUUUAUUUGACCAAGAAUUUUAAAUGAAUUUGAGUAGUAGUGUAUGAAUCUUUUUUUUUAUGGUUUUAUAGUUAUUUAGAAUUUAUUUAUUUUUUCAUAUGGGAACUCUGUUUGAUGAUUUGGAUUAUGAAAAUUUUCAAAUUGACGUAUUAAUCUUUGAUCCCUUUAUUCCUCUUCUAAAAAAUUGUCAUGUUUGGAGCUUUUAGGAGCUCUUGACUACACUUGCCCUGUUUGGGCAUGACAUAACACUGAUCGAAGUAGUGAGACAGUUUUACACAUUUGUAGAUGACAGAAAUACAUCACUGCUCCCUACUGACACAAGAAAGGUUGUAUAUGUUGCUGUAAUGCAGACCGUCACAACAUCAAACAAAUCUCCAUAUGAAUCUCUUCUAAAAGUUUAUAGAGAGAAUGAUCUAAGCCAAGAGAAAGUGCUCAUUCUAACUAUGUCAAUACCUAUAUGAAUUUUAAGGAAAUUGAUUGGGUCCAUUUUACUUUUGGGUGAUAAUCUCUCUUAUCAUUCUUUGUAGGUUCACUGGCAUCUUGUCCCGAUCCAGAUAUCGUCCUCAAAAUUCUAAAGUUUUUCUCAUCCUCUUAGGUAUGUCAGUUUGUUUUCUCAUUGAGCCAUAGCCCAUAAGUAUUCUCUCAGUAAUCUCCCAUGAAUUUCCUAAGUGAAGGUACUUGUAAAUGAUUUCAAGUCUGAAGUUGGUGACAGGUACUUUUUUCUGAAGAACAACCAACUCUUUCUUCUUACAGUGAAGAUUUGUGUCAUAGUUAAUGUAGUUGCAUUUGAUUACUCUUUUGAUGAUGUUCAGAUGAAAAACUUGUUUUGAUGAAUUUGAUAUUAACAUACAUGCCUUUUUUUUGUCAAAACAAACUAGUAUAUGCU
Long non-coding RNA from Magnolia sinica, 1300 nucleotides. RefSeq lists it as uncharacterized. The record is from RefSeq and is a predicted model, not a curated record. NCBI's taxonomy places the organism in Eukaryota, Viridiplantae, Streptophyta, Magnoliopsida, Magnoliales, Magnoliaceae. The transcript is spliced from 3 exons.